RNAcentral lists this long non-coding RNA (1581 nucleotides) under Homo sapiens (human). RNAcentral describes it as "HSALNT0035369". The record is from RNAcentral. Lineage: Eukaryota; Metazoa; Chordata; Mammalia; Primates; Hominidae.
GCAGGAGUGAGGGCAGGAGCGAGCAAGGCAGUAAGGUACAGCGAAAGAAAAUAUUUUUCAAAUGCCCUUCCCUGGGUGGAAGGAAUAUCACACCUGGGGCACUGGGAAGGAGGAUAUGGAACAACUGUCCAGGAACAGAGGACAGAGGGGCUGGCACGGGGCUCUGAGCAGGUCAUGGAAGGAGCUGGCCUGAUGAGCACAUACCCAUGCCCCUCACGCAACAGGACUGUCCCUGUUCUGUCCAAUGCCUUCCAGGGGCAGCAUUCCCAGGCCAAUUCAGCAAAGCUAAAGAGAAAUACACAUGGUUGGGUUCAAUGUAAGCCAGAGGCGGAAAUAGCAACCACAGGAGGUGGUGAAGUUGAGGAAGAAAAUCAAGUGCUGUUGUUGGGCUGCUCUAUGAGGGCUCCAAGCAUGGGAUGGAGACCCGGACUACGUGUCCCCUGGGAUUUUAUAUUCUAAUAAUUUUCCCUUGCCACUCCUCUGGACCCUAUUCCAGAGUAGAGAAGGUCAGAAAAACUCUGACCAAUAACCAGGAUAAAUAAAUACGGAAAAUAGGAGUAGCCCGAAGGCUGGGAACAAGAAGGUGGGUAGACAGGCGCCCCUCAGGGAGGUGGAGGGGUUUUGUGAGAAGGGGUGGGACAGGGCGGAGACUCGGACCCCAGGAGCCGACGGCACCCCUAGGGGUGGAGGCAGACCCCGGGCUCUCUGAGGCUACCGGUGCCAGUCAUCCCGCCAAGGAGGGCGGCCUAAAUCCUCAAGGGACUCGCAGGCGCCUGAGAUUCCACUCCCAGCCCCUGAAAACACCACGGACUUCAGUUUCGGGGUUCUCAAAGGACUGCUCAAAUCCCGCAGAAAACGCAAAGCAUCAGAAACCCCCCGCACCACCCUCCCAAGUUCCUCAAGUCCGAGCGCCGGAACCAAAGGUUCCAGAAACGGGCGGGGCGACGGACGUGGGCCUGCGGGAAUCAGGGCCGAACGGAGCCGCGAGAGCGUCCGGAGCUCAGAAAUCUCGCCCGCGACGACCCCGGGAGGGCGGCGAGUUCAACCAGAGUUUGAGGCACAAAGGGAGAGAUAAUAAUUCAGGGCACCUCAAGAUUUUCCCUUCAACCUCCGACCGAAUGGAGCCUUCGGUACCUCUGUGCCUAUUGGCCAUGCUGCAGGAAAGCUCAGUUAUGAAAUCUUCCACUCUGAGAUCUUGGCAGAUCAAAAACUAUACGGAGCAUUUGGUGAGGUCUAGUACUAAUAAAGAGAAGAAGAUCGGAGCAGCUUUGACAUGAAUGGAUCCAUCUGGCCUGGUCUCCAUACAAGUUUCCUAUGAGUUUGGUCACAGACCCUUCAAGCAAUUGUUUAAAUGAGAAGAUGCUACAUUUUCAAGCAGAGACUGAUUCACUGUAGCUUAAUAAAUUUUUACUGAGCCCAUACUGUGUAUAUUUUGUCCUGAGCUUCAGAAACCAGGAAAUCCCAUUGGGUAAGGGGAGCCUGGUGCAGGGAUCAGCAGCCUGAAUGAAUUCUGCUAAACAACUUUCAUCUGGCUUUAGCUAUUUCUGUUGAGCUGUCAACACAGAUGUUGGGUUUUGCUCU